This 484-nucleotide ribosomal RNA is filed under the name uncultured bacterium. Its description in RNAcentral is "partial 16S ribosomal RNA". It matches the Rfam family "Bacterial small subunit ribosomal RNA", at positions 30 to 507 of the family's 1533-position model. The record is from RNAcentral.
AUUGAACGCUGGCGGCAUGCCUAACACAUGCAAGUCGAGCGGAUGAAGGGAGCUUGCUCUUGGAUUCAGCGGCGGACGGGUGAGUAAUGCCUAGGAAUCUGCCUGGUAGUGGGGGAUAACGUCCGGAAAGGGGCGCUAAUACCGCAUACGUCCUGAGGGUGAAAGUGGGGGAUCUUCGGACCUCACGCUAUUAGAUGAGCCUAGGUCGGAUUAGCUAGUUGGUGGGGUAAAGGCCUACCAAGGCGACGAUCCGUAGCUGGUCUGAGAGGAUGAUCAGACACACUGGAACUGAGACACGGUCCAGACUCCUACGGGAGGCAGCAGUGGGGAAUCUUGGACAAUGGGCGAAAGCCUGAUCCAGCAAUGCCGCGUGUGUGAAGAAGGUCUUCGGAUUGUAAAGCACUUUUAUUUGGGAGGAAGGGCAGUGAGUUAAUACCUUGCUGUUUUGACGGUACCGAAAGAAUAAGCACCGGCUAACUACGUG